RNAcentral lists this unclassified non-coding RNA (337 nucleotides) under soil metagenome. RNAcentral describes it as "partial contains 5.8S ribosomal RNA, internal transcribed spacer 2, and large subunit ribosomal RNA". The stretch from base 1 to 120 matches the Rfam family "5.8S ribosomal RNA", at positions 35 to 154 of the family's 154-position model. The record is from RNAcentral.
GAUGAAGAACGCAGCGAAAUGCGAUAAGUAGUGUGAAUUGCAGAAUUCAGUGAAUCAUCGAAUCUUAGAACGCACAUUGCGCCCCUUGGUAUUCCAUGGGGCAUGCCUGUUCGAGCGUCAUUUGUACCUUCAAGCUCUGCUUGGUGUUGGGUGUUUGUCUCGCCUCUGCGUGUAGACUCGCCUUAAAACAAUUGGCAGCCGGCGUAUUGAUUUCGGAGCGCAGUACAUCUCGCGCUUUGCACUCAUAACGACGACGUCCAAAAGUACAUUUUUACACUCUUGACCUCGGAUCAGGUAGGGAUACCCGCUGAACUUAAGCAUAUCAAUAAGCGGAGGA